UGCAGUCGAGCGGAACGAGUUAUCUGAACCUUCGGGGGACGAUAACGGCGUCGAGCGGCGGACGGGUGAGUAAUGCCUAGGAAAUUGCCCUGAUGUGGGGGAUAACCAUUGGAAACGAUGGCUAAUACCGCAUAAUGCCUACGGGCCAAAGAGGGGGACCUUCGGGCCUCUCGCGUCAGGAUAUGCCUAGGUGGGAUUAGCUAGUUGGUGAGGUAAUGGCUCACCAAGGCGACGAUCCCUAGCUGGUCUGAGAGGAUGAUCAGCCACACUGGAACUGAGACACGGUCCAGACUCCUACGGGAGGCAGCAGUGGGGAAUAUUGCACAAUGGGCGCAAGCCUGAUGCAGCCAUGCCGCGUGUGUGAAGAAGGCCUUCGGGUUGUAAAGCACUUUCAGUCGUGAGGAAGGUGGUGUAGUUAAUAGCUGCAUUACUUGACGUUAGCGACAGAAGAAGCACCGGCUAACUCCGUGCCAGCAGCCGCGGUAAUACGGAGGGUGCGAGCGUUAAUCGGAAUUACUGGGCGUAAAGCGCAUGCAGGUGGUUUGUUAAGUCAGAUGUGAAAGCCCGGGGCUCAACCUCGGAAUAGCAUUUGAAACUGGCAGACUAGAGUACUGUAGAGGGGGGUAGAAUUUCAGGUGUAGCGGUGAAAUGCGUAGAGAUCUGAAGGAAUA
RNAcentral lists this ribosomal RNA (671 nucleotides) under bacterium SCSIO13081. Its description in RNAcentral is "bacterial SSU rRNA". It matches the Rfam family "Bacterial small subunit ribosomal RNA", at positions 56 to 708 of the family's 1533-position model. The record is from RNAcentral.